Long non-coding RNA from Homo sapiens (human), 7464 nucleotides. RefSeq lists it as uncharacterized. The transcript is spliced from 2 exons. NCBI's taxonomy places the organism in Eukaryota, Metazoa, Chordata, Mammalia, Primates, Hominidae. The record is from RefSeq and is a predicted model, not a curated record.
UUCUGGAUACCUCCUGAAGCAGUCGCUUGAGGCUGUUUUACAGUUAACUUUUUCUUUAAGAAGUAGAAGGACUAUAUUCUAAAAUAGCAAUAAAAAGUAGAGUAUAGUAAAUACAUAUACCAGAAAGGGUCAUUUAUCAUCAUCAAGUAUUAUGUAUCGUACAUAAUUGUGCUAUACAUUUUUUGUUUUGUUUUUGUCUUUUUGCUUUAUUAUUAUCUUUAAUUAACACACAAUCAUACAUGUUUGUGGAGUGCAGAGUAAUAUUUCAGUAGAUGUACACAAUGUAUGAUGAUAAAAUCUAGAUAAUUAGCGUAUUCAUCACCUCAAACAUUUAUCAUUUAUUUGUGUUGGGAACAUUCAAAAAUCUGCUCUUCCAGCUAUUUGAAAAUAUACAAUGAAAUGUUAAUGAUAGUCACCCUAGAGUGCUACCAUAUCUGCUAUACUUUUAUAUAACUGGCAAUGCAGUAGAUUUGUUUACCCCAGCAUCACCACAAACACAUGAAUAAUGCAUUGCACUAUGAUGUUACAAUGGCUAUGACAUCACUAAGUGAUAGGAAUUUUUUAGCUUCAUUAUAAUCUUAUGGGAACCACUGUUGUAUGUGUGAUCUAUUGUUGACUGAAAUGUCUUUUUACAGCAUAUGACCACAUAGAUAAUGGAUAUAAGUGAUACUGGUGAAUAUGAAGACAACAGGAAGGAAUUAAUGCAGGAGAAGAAAUCUUAGAGAACAACAUCAUUGAAAGGAUAGACCAUUAAAAGGAUCUUUGUUGAAGGAGCAAUCAGAGAUGUCAGAGGAAAUUUUUUAAAAGGUGUUGUCAUAGACACCAAUGGAAGAGAAGAGAAUUUCAAGAGGAAGAGAGUUCUAAGUAGUGUUUGUGGAAAAUGUUUCCAGGGAGCCAAGUUGCACUUAUUUGAUUUGGUAACUAGAGGGUUAAUAAUGCCCUCAGGAAAGAGUGGUUUUAGUAGAGUGGUGGGGUGUUAAUGACAUUAGUAAGGGUAAAAGAGUGAAUAAGGGAUAAAGAAGAACAGAGAAUUAUAGAAUAAUCUUUCGAGAACCUUAGCUGUGAAGGGAAGGAAAAAGAUGAAAUUCAUUCUGCAUUUUCGUUAAUAGCAAAAAUAGCCUCUGAGUAAAAACCAUUUUUGCAAUCCUUGGUGACCAGAGUGAAUUUGCCAGAUCAACAAAUGUUCGUACACCCUUCUUUGAUUCUCAUAAAAUGGAGUGGGUAACUCCAGACAGCCUUCAUGGAGAUAAGACCACUAGAUUGUUACCAGGUUCCAGCAAGCCCACAGGACCGAGAAGAAACUGCCUUCACCUCAACAGCAAUUGUUGAGGAAACUGAAUUGGACUAUUUCUCCACUGCAAGGCAAGACGAUACCAUGAACUGGAUCACUGCACUAAUAGGUCGAUGAGAAAAUGACUUUUUCCUGGAGAAAUACAUCUCUUGUAAAAGGGAUUUUUACUUCGGUUUUUGCAGCUACCAGGAGGAGAAAUGUCAGUCUGCCUAGUCCGACAAGGAAGAGUGAAGUUUUUGCCUAGAGAUCUCAUUAACGGAGAACAGACAGGAUACAACAUCAAGAGCGAAAGGGCAAAGUAAUGAGAGAGUACUGUGUACUUUUUCCUGUUUUUAUCGUAUACGACACUGAUACAACCUAUUUUAUUUAUACUCAUUUAUUGUCCUAAAACUUGGCAUGUCUUUGAAAAGUGAUGAGGUGUUCUUUAUUCACAUAUUUUAUAAACCUAUCCCACAAUUAUGAAAGGAGGUAGAAGAGAUAUUUAAAUUAAUUUGGUCGCUAUUCUUUAUUACUUUUAAUUUCUCCUAAAACUCAGCAAGCUGACUUUGAAGGGACCUUAGUGAAAAACAUUUUUUAAUUAAAAAAAUUCACAUCCAGAACUUUUGUGCUCAGCUGCCUUGAUCCUAGCGGUUCUGAUAGCUGCAAGUUCUUAUUCAGAAAUUCAGCCCUACAGAUCCCCCAGGGCUACAAGACAACAAGCAAAAACAGACUUCAGCUCUUGAAACUGUGUAAUGAAGCCCAUUCCAAGGGCUUCUCAUAGAUUUUCCAAAUAUAUUUAGUUAAUGCACAAACAUACACACACACACACACCCCUACUCCUUUGAACUAAAAACAUUUAAAGCCAGCAGUUCGCUUAUUUCUGAAAUGUAAACCUCCUUUUGAAUUUGUUUUUGGUCUAGCUCAUGAUAAGGUAUGCUGUGUAAUUAACUGAGUGAUUUGCUUUAAGAUUUGGGUGGGGUUCAGGUGCUGCACAGCAAAGGUUGGGAUUUUUAUGCAGCCCUCACGUGGCCUGGAGCUCUUGGCAACACAUUGUCUUUGGCCUCUGACUUGCCCCUCUUCCUUAUAAGCUACUUUGUUUUCUAUGAGGGUUUCUGCUUCUUUCUUGCUUCCUUCCUGGGCGUCUGCAGAUAUUUCUCCAUCUCAGAGAACCAAAGCCCCACCUUCAUUUAUUCAGCAUUCUCCACUUCCCAUCACUUGCACAGGAUUAGAGAUAUCAACUGCAGGCCACCACCUACCACCUGUGUUGACUUAAACAAAUUACUUAAUCUCUCUCCUCUUUCAUUUUUUUGUCUGUAAAAUGGGAAUAAUGCUAUUCCUCACAUAUUAUAGUUGAUUAAAUGAGGUAAUAAGUGUAAACUUCUCAGCACAAAGUCUAGUACACAUUAAUGGCUAGUAGCUUUUAUUUACAGUACCCAGAAAAGCAAGAGGCCUAUUUUUUUUUAAGUGUAUGAAGAUGUCUCCUGAUGCUGCUUAAUAGGACAGAUGUCAGUAAGCCAACCUCAGUCAUUUGCUGGGCUUGGGGGCAAGACUACAAAUGUGCACCCACUCCUGCUAUCUUUCCUCCUUCCACGGAGUCGCUCAUUUUAAGGAGCCUCAUUCAUACGAGUGUGUGAUAUCCUAGUCUGCACAUUGAAGUUGUGUCCAAGCCCACCCCCUUCCUGUUCUGCAGACAGCUGCUCCUUGGCUACACCUUAGUUCUAAAGAUGGGCCCUCCAGAGGACACACCCAGGGCAGAGCCUCUUGUGGACCUGGCCAUGGCUUGAGCCCUUGCAUUGGGAACCCAUGAUCUCGGGUCCCUGGAGUGUGGUAUAGAAGAGGAGAGUGGCCUGGACUUAGUACCUUGGAAUUCUUUUUCAUGGAGAGUCACGGCAAGUGGGUGGCCAGAGCCGAGUCCAUAGGACGGACCUUGAAUGUCUGGUGCUAAUCAUGUUUGCUGGUAGAAAGAACCAAGCUUUGGAGAGGGAGGCUUCUCCAUGCUCUGUCACUCUAGCCAGCCCGAGGCCCUUGUGUCCUGUUCAGUCACCAUGAUGCCAAACCUGUGAGUGUAGGAACCUGCUCGUCUCACAGAGGCCCUGACAGCUACCAGGAAGCCAAAGGGCGUCCUUUUUGGAUCAACCCCAAGGAAUGCAAAUUCCUGCAGAGCUCAGUGCUUGAUAUUACAGUGACUGUGCCCCCUUUCCUCGGCUCCCUCACCAGCUGCAGCACAGACUGUUCUCCUCCUCCCCUUUUCUGUGGUUUCUUUUCCUUGGCAUUUGCUGGGUGGACAUAGAAGUAAUACUGGGAGGAACUCAAAUACCAGGGAUCUGAGAAGAAUCUUAGGUACAGUUGGACAGAAAGGGAUGUGUUUGCUGUUAGUAACAUCAACUCUAGAAAUCCCAGUGAGGAAAUCCUUAAGGCCAGCACUGUCCCACUUCCUGCAGAAUUGAGUUUAUAACCCAUCAGCUCCUUUACAAUGUAUGAUUAUGUCUACAUUAGCAACUCUCCUUUUAUUGCUGAGAGUUGCAGCACCUGUAUGUUCUGCAUAUUGCUGCAAAGGAUUUGGGCUGAAGUGUUAACAACUUUAGCUCUUUAAGAAAUAGUUUGGUAAGAAAAACAGUUAUGAGGAAUAAUUCAAUAGCCAAAUACACAAUAAAGAUGAAGCAUAUGUGGUAGAUAGUAAAUCUUCCCCAGCAAAGGAAAUCAGUGCCUUCAAGUACAAGUUGUCAUUUAGAAUUUGGAAUCCGAACAGCAAUACCAUCCCAUGAGUACAAAGUAUUGAGUGCUAGAAAUAGAAGCUUUGCUUCCCUCUCUCCUGAGCAGAAAUAUUUUGCUCUGCUGUCCCCAAUAAUCCCCAGAUUCCAUGUGCACGGCCUAACUGACUGACACAGCCAAAGGCUUCAGAACCGGGUGAGUCUGGUCAAGAAUUCUUGUGUACAAGGUUAUGCACAGAACAAGAGAAGGGACCUCUUUCAGCGCUUUUGUGUUCUGUUUUUUUUUCUAAAAAAAAAAAAAAGAUAAAUCUGACUGACAUUCCAACUAGUGGGCCAUAAACAUGAGUUUCUUAUGAUAUUAACGGGGAUUUCUAUGGAUUGAAUGUUUGUGUCCACCCCCCUCAAAUUUGUAUGUUGAAAUUGAAUCUGUAAUGUAAUGGUAUUUGGAGAUGGGGUCUUCGGGAAAUGAUUGGUUUAUGAGGGUGGAGCCCUCAUGAAGGGAAUUAAUGCCCCUAUAAAAGGGAGCCCAGAGAGUUCUCUCAUUCUCUUUUCAUCAUGUGAGUCAAUGGUGUGCAACCUGUAAGAAAACCCUCACCAGAACCCAACUAUGCUGGCACCCUGAUCUUGGACUUCCAGCCUCCAGAAUCAGGAGAAAUCAAUUUCUGUUUCUGAGCCACCCACAUUAUGUUACUUUGUGGUAACAGUCUGAACCAAGAGGCAUGAUAUAAACAGUGCUCUGCAGUUUAAAAGUUUGAGAAAUGUUAAACUAAAAAUUAAUCUAAGAAUGUUUGUUUUAACUGCAGGAUAUCUCAGAGCGUUUAUUACACUCGAGUGCUAUAUUAUUUGAAAUGAGACUGUAAAAUAUGUUUUCUCAAAAUAGAAUGUACUGUAGAAAUUACUCAUAUAGGUCACUUUUUACGCCUUUGUCUUUUUUCCUAUCUUCUUUCCAGAUAAAUAUUUUAAAUAUCUAAGUUUAGAAAUGAUAUUUAAGACAUGAUAACUUAAAAUGUUCCAUGGGGGUGGACAAGUUGAUUCAUAAGUGUUGAAUUCCAAUAUUACCCAAAUCGUCCAUCUAAGGGGGAAAACAGGAAAAUAUUCUGCCAAGUUUCUCAUGGAAAAUCAGAUGUAGGGGAGCAAUUUCUGGCAUUGGAAUAUUCCUUGGCAUCUGUGUGGUUUAGGUACCACAUAACUUCACAGUCCCAGCAGGGACCACCCGGAGUUGAAAUCUCCAGGCCUCAUAGUAAGUCUGCCCCUGACAGCACUCCUUCAAUUCUCAGGAUCUCCUCUAAGAGACAAGGGGCUGAAAUAUGGGGGAAAUGGCAGUAAAGCAUUUAGGAAAACAUUCUCGUUCUUCCACAGUACUUAUAUUAUUUAUCCUUUUUCUUUUCUUUUCCUUUCUUCAUUUAGUUCCACAGAUGAACCAGUGGCCCCAGAAGCAUCAACUAACUUUGUGACAUUUGAAGGUUGUUUGCUUUCCUUAAUUCAAUUGACUUUCAUCCUUACUGAGGUAGUGGGUUUGACUCAAGGGAGAGGAAGCACUGAGAAAUAAGCUUUACACUUAAACAAAGAUGCUGGGAACUUCCAUGUGCAUUUCCUUACAUUUAAAAGAUGGAAGCUAUUUUGGACACAUCGUUUAGCUGUAAGGAGAGCAUUAUCAUGGAAUCUAUAAACAUGGUGAUCAUAGUUUCCAAAUCUCAAAUUGGGACACAUUCCCUGGCUAGAGGAUUGUUAUUCUUUCCGUGAGGUGACUUACUCUUUAUGAGGUGUACAUUAAUUUCAUUUAGCUAGUCAGUAAUGGAAGUGCCUUGGUUAGAGAAAAUAGAAUUUCAUAAAAUCAUAAGUGUACCAGAAAAUCUAACAUAGUGCUCAAUGUAUGUGAUUCAGUUCACACAAUGUUUAGCUUGCAAAAUCAUCCCUAAGAAUAUUUUUGGUGCCUUUUGUACUGUUUUAAAGGAUGAAUUCUUUGUAUUUCUCUUGUGAACCAAGGCUUAGUCUGCUCUACCACGUUUUUUUAAAGGAGGCUUUUAUCACUCAAUUUACAUCAGUGAGUGAAGCUGCAAGAUAUUUUUCCUCUUUCGGAACUGCGUUUUUCCACCCUGAGAUAUUACACAUAAGGCUCUAGAGUGUGACUAUGCCUCAGGGUCGUGGGACUUUCAUUGUCAACCCAAUCAUUCCAAAACUCAAAUCUCUGAGUUUCCUGUGUUAUUUAAUAACAUUUUCAAUUAGGCUGCAUCUAUCAAGGUCUGGUUUGCGUUUAGGUAAAUAGGUGAGCAUAAAUGCACACUUCCUAUCUAGGAUGGAUGGGAGAGUGUACGCCAUGGAAUAUUCCCUAUCAGGUUCCCAUAUUUGGGUAAGAGUUGGCUUGGAGUUGAAACACAAUAGGGUAGUUGGACCUGAAGAAAUAUAAGAAAGUUGGCAAAGCAGAUCUGUGGGUCACCUCACUCUCCCUCUUCUGGAUUCACCUUAUCCAGAGUAAAACCUGGGCUAUAAAUCCCUAAAAAUUGUACCACCACAAGAAAUUUUCUUUUUCCUUGCUUUUAAAAUGACUAUGAGCUCACUUCUUUAAGCCUUUCCAUUUUUACUUUGCUAAGGGAAGGUGCUGAGUCUGACAAUUUGGGAACUUUGAGUUUCUACUAUACUUCUUCCUAAACUCAUAACAGAAUGCUUAUCAGAGAAUUUCAGCAGGACCAGAUUUAUCCAAAACAUUCUCUUACUGGGAAAGACCAGAGACUCUGAUGUCUUAUCCAGUGGAGUGCUGGUAAAUGUUUAACAAUAUAGCCACCAUGAUUGAUUUAGUCUCCAGUGUGUCAUCACUGGAGAAAGAGUUGGGAAGGAGCUGGCUUCAGCAUCACUGAGUUUAUGCCCCUAGGACAUUGGUCUCCAAAUUUUAGUAUGAAUCACUAUUACUAUUAUUAAAAGUAGAAAAGUUGAUUCAGAAUCUCUGGGGCUGAGGCCAGAGCAUUUAGCAAGUUUCUCCAGGUGAUCCUGAUCCAGUAGUUUGAGUUCUUGUUCCCAUGUUUAUUCCCAUACAAGGCCAGUCUUGAAUAAACAGCAUUGCCAUUCCAGAUCAAGGACUCUAAAUACUUUUUCAUACCAUGAAAUUCACUAGGCUAUAAUUAAAAUAGACUAAAUUUACUAAGACAUAAUUAAAAUGGAUUCUAAUGUUCAAGCUGAAUGAUCACAGUAUUCACUUUUAUAUAAUAGUCUAUAUUCAGUUCAUUACUUCUCAUUAUCCUGAAUGUAAAAUGUGCUAUGGAAAGUCAAAUUCCAUAUAUUUUAGGAAUUAGACAAAAUCUUUAUGGAGCACAUAGCUCAUCUUAGAGUUGUAAGAAAUAUUUGUAUCCGAUUUUUUUUUGUAAAAAAAAAAAACAAGAUUCACAGGACAGCCUUCUUUGCUUCCCAUCAAUUUUCUUCCAAUAGGUUUGUGCCAAAUGUGUUGUGAACUUAAUGAUUUGUUUAUGACAAUAAAAUUUGAUAAAUAUA